Molecule: ribosomal RNA, 288 nt
Filed under: Pseudomonas sp. Z2NS-254
Lineage: Bacteria; Pseudomonadati; Pseudomonadota; Gammaproteobacteria; Pseudomonadales; Pseudomonadaceae
Description: partial 16S ribosomal RNA
Rfam family: Bacterial small subunit ribosomal RNA
Source: RNAcentral
GAGUAAUGCCUAGGAAUCUGCCUGGUAGUGGGGGACAACGUCUCGAAAGGGACGCUAAUACCGCAUACGUCCUACGGGAGAAAGUGGGGGAUCUUCGGACCUCACGCUAUCAGAUGAGCCUAGGUCGGAUUAGCUAGUUGGUGAGGUAAUGGCUCACCAAGGCGACGAUCCGUAACUGGUCUGAGAGGAUGAUCAGUCACACUGGAACUGAGACACGGNCCANACUCCUACGGGAGGCANCNGUGGGGAAUAUUGGACAAUGGGCGAAAGCCUGAUCCAGCCAUGCCG